Molecule: non-coding RNA, 184 nt
Filed under: Robbsia andropogonis
Lineage: Bacteria; Pseudomonadati; Pseudomonadota; Betaproteobacteria; Burkholderiales; Burkholderiaceae
Description: Burkholderia andropogonis 6S / SsrS RNA
Rfam family: 6S / SsrS RNA
About the family: E. coli 6S RNA was the first non coding RNA to be sequenced, but its function was unknown until recently. It consists of 184 nucleotides that fold into an extended hairpin structure with a large single-stranded internal bulge.
Source: Rfam by way of RNAcentral
GUUUCCCUGCCUGGUUCGCGAUGGUCAUAAAUUCCUUGAACCAAUGCUUACUCAGCACAGGUCGCGGGACAUUGAAAUGCGGGCGUGAGCGUCACUCUGUCUGACGAACCCGAAGCGUUUCUUACUGCGGCCGAUCUUGAACUCCGGUUCAGGAUGCCGGCCAAGCGGCUAAGGCGGGGAUCUU